AAGAGCUGCAUGGCUGCCAUGGGCUGCCUGCCACAGUCACCAUCUGAGCAGCAGAAUUUUCCUGUCUGCUGGUUCCACUUUCAGACAGGCUGCACAGACAUAGCCCCCCGUGUGCUUCUAGUUGCUUGUACUACUGGAGAAAUUUGCACAUUCUAAAACAAGCUUGUGAUUUUUUUUUUCUAUUGCAGUUGUACCAGGACCCAUUUGCCCUACUGUCCCUGUCCCCACCACUGCCCACACCCCUACAGAUGAUUUCAGAGCUGCAGAAGUCAGAUGUGGGAUUAAUAAGUAAAUACUGCACCUUUAUUUCCUGAUUUCAAACCCAGAGUUCCCUGAGACUGCAGCUUUCUUCUGCAAGGGAAGGGUUAUAUAUCACAUAUUUAACAUCUUGGGGGGUUAAGUUUGGUUAGAAUUGCCUGCUCUGUGCACUGGAUGGGUGUUCCUAGAGAUGCUCAGUGCAGACACACACGUUAGUCUCAUGGGGCUGGGGAUAAAUGUUGCACUCCAUAAAGUCUGGUGAAUUUGAGCACUGCUGAUGCUUCAAUCCCUCUGCUGAAACCGGGGAUUCUGACAGGAUUUCCUGUGUAUCAACAGCUAUGAAAUACUGUACAUGUCACUGGCCUUCAUCUCUGGCAUCCUCCUGACUGUCCUGGUUUUUGCAAUCAUCUUCCUCUUCAGGAAAAGUGAGUGACACAGUCGAGGGCAUAGCAGCAGACUGAUGGUGGCUGCAGAAAUGGCUCAAAUAAUGUCUGCCUUGAAUGAUUGUGUGUUGGUGAACAGCUCAACCCUGGCAGUAACUCCUCAUGAAUUGUCCCAGUGGUGUUUUCAGGAAAGAAUUAACUUUGCCACUGAGGAGUUCUGGGGCUUUCUGUUGGUUGUGGCCUUUUCUCAUCCUAAUCCUGGCUGCACUGAAUUCAUCCUGGCCACUUCCAGCAGGUGGGCAGGGCCUGGGCAGCCCAAAGUGCCACUUUGCUGUGCAGGUGUGUGCCAGAGGUUACACAUCACCUGCCUGUCACCGUCUGCCCUCCCUUGCAAACACCUGAGACUGGGAUCCCUUUCCUUCCUAGGGUCUAAAAGAUGCCACCAAAAUUUACAAGAGGAAACUUUCUCCCAGAUGGCAGCUGAGGAAUCUGUUAGGAACACCCAGAAUGAAGUGACCUACAGCACUCUGGUCUUCCAGCGGGGCAGGACACCACUGCCUGUGUGAUGAGGAAGCUCCAAAUGGAAUAAAAACGAUCCCACUUUCUGGACA
This 1252-nucleotide long non-coding RNA is filed under the name Junco hyemalis (dark-eyed junco). RNAcentral's name for it is "lncRNA (ENSJHYG00000016955.1)". Lineage: Eukaryota; Metazoa; Chordata; Aves; Passeriformes; Passerellidae. The record is from RNAcentral.